Sciurus carolinensis (gray squirrel) is the source of this 1441-nucleotide long non-coding RNA. RefSeq lists it as uncharacterized. NCBI's taxonomy places the organism in Eukaryota, Metazoa, Chordata, Mammalia, Rodentia, Sciuridae. The transcript is spliced from 3 exons. The record is from RefSeq and is a predicted model, not a curated record.
CUCAGGGGUUGGUGGGUGGGAAGGAAGCCGGUCCUCCCUCCGCAGUGAGGCCCCUCCUGGGCCUGGACCAGCCUCCAUUUCCUUCCAGCAGCUCAGCCCUGGCCUCUGAGCGGGAAGGACACAGAGUGCGUGGGGCCAGCCCAAACCACAUGGCGUCUGUGCACUUUACCAGCACCUGGCCUCAGCUCCGAGUGGAGUGGCCGGUCCACACUCCCUCCACGGGGGGCUGGAAUUCUGCACUUUGAUCAAGACUCACACUCUGCGGGGUGGACGAGGCGGACGGGAGAGCGGAGGCUACUGAAGGGCUGGAUCUCGGCGCGUAACCCAGACUGGCCCCUAGGAAGUGGACACACUGGGAUUCCUAAGCCCAGAACACGAGUGAGCGACCUUGCCAGGUCUCGCAAGCCCACGGGCGGCCGAUGGAGGGGGCCUGGGCUAGGCGUGUCAGUCCCGCUUGGCCAUCAAGCCUUCUGGGCCUCCCGUCUGUGACUUGGAGAUGUGUCCAGGGCUCAGUCAACGCUGGUACCCCGACCCGGUCCCGCGCUGUUAAGGGCGUGACCCUGGCACGCGGUGUGCACUGCUCCGCGCAAGACGUCAGUGGCCCUUCGCAUCGACCCGAGGAGGCGGCGCCCCUUUCCGACAGGCGGAGAAGCCAGGGCUCUCCGCGGGGCCCGCGCGGGAGGCGCAAGGGUCGGCGGGGGCGGCGCGGGGACUACAUUUCCCAGGAGCGGUUCCCGCAGCCCGGCGCUCGGGGCUUUUAAAGGGCCGCGCGUACAGGGGGCGGGGGCGGCUCUCUGCCCGCGGGCCAGCGGCUCUGCGCCGGGAGGGACCCGAGAGCCGCCGGCGAGGGGCCCGGAGCCGACCUGCAGUGCCCGCAGGCGAGGCCGCGCCAGAGCGAGGCGGCCUCUCCUCAUCCUGCGCCUCCCCGGGGCCGGGCUGGGCCCCCAGCCCCGGGACCCCUUCCUUCCCCUCCAGCGCCUCCCAACAGGGACCGGGCGGCAAAGGCGGGAGCAGGGUGUCCGCCGCUGGUGGCCCGCACCUCGUCGCGACCCCUCCCCCAUUUCUGGUUUCCGUUCCGGGAGAGAAUUACAGGUCGCCGGGAUGGGCGGGGAAAGCAGCCAAAAACUGAGGGCCGGGGGCGCCGGGAGCCGAGCCGGCGCUGCCCUCCCCCACUCCUCCCAAGCCCGCUGGCCCCCGGUUAAGUGAGGUGCUGGGGGUGCUGAUCACAUCGCCUCCCGGGAGGCAGGCACAAAGGACCAAGAAACUGGUGAACAGCACUUUGCAAACAGUCGUGCGCUGUGCGAAUGAUAUAUUUCAGCAGCACGUCACUGGAUUCAACCGUCGUUAUUCUAAGGCAGAAUGGACCCGGGGGCGGGGUGCACGUGGAGCAUCUUGGAUACAGGGGUGGCGCAGGGUGCAACAUCUUGGAUACAGGGGUGGC